CAACGGUGGCUCUUGGGAUCUCCCGACAAUGAGUUCGGUUGAUCUGCAGGGAAUUGAAUGGUUGUUCUUUGGUUGGCUCGUGGGUAUCUUCUGGUUUCAAAGAUUGACGGAUUUGGUGAAUCGAUUUGGUGAUUCAAAUCGGGAGAGGAUCUGCCUUUCCUUUUCUUUUCUGGAGUUUAUUUGUGUAGAAGAAGAGAUUUGGGAGAUCCUAUCUAACGGAUUCAAUUCAAUAUGGUGAAUCAAUAUAUUGGGUGAUUGUAUCGUCUCCUUUGAUCUUUUGCGAUUCAUCGCGAGGAUUUGGGGCCAUUCAAGUAUCCGGUGGUGUGGUUUUUGGAAUGUUGUAAUCAAAGGCAUUAUUCGUUUGUUUGAUUCUUCUCGAGACAACGGUGGCUAUAAUGGUGGUCUCGGUUCUUUUAGCUCUCUUGUAAAAAAGGGUGCCUCGGGGAAGAAGGUGGUGGAGCUGGGACAGAAGCGGAAGGUUAAGGUGCCAUUCUUCGACAAUGCUGCUCAGAUAGCCGGUUAUUCCCAAAACCGUUAUCGGUUGGUGCAUGAAUCCACGCAAACAGGACUUGAAGACACUACUCUUUAUGCUUCCUCGCAUUUGGCAGCUUGAAGACAAGGUCGUGGGGGUUGAUCUCGGUCUCGGGAGGUUUCAGUUUGAUAUUGAGAGCGAUGAAGACAUAGAGGAGGUGUUCAAAAUGGAGCCUUUCCAUUUCGACCACUGGAUGGUGUCGAUGGUUCGAUGGCAGCUAUCUAUGGACCCAACCUAUCCCUCAGAGAUCACAUUCUGGAUACGCGUCUUGGGUGUGCCUCUUUAGUGUUGGGCGGAUCCAACUUUCCGGUGUAUUGGCGAAGAGUGGAGAAUUGAGCAGGAGAACCACCAGAGAGCUGGCCGGAAAUGGCCAUAAAUGUCAAGUUUCCAAGAUAACUUACCUCUUUUAGAACUAAAAAGUAGGUAAGAUCUAGAAUUUUGAACAAA
Long non-coding RNA from Capsella rubella, 979 nucleotides. RefSeq lists it as uncharacterized. The transcript has 2 exons. Lineage: Eukaryota; Viridiplantae; Streptophyta; Magnoliopsida; Brassicales; Brassicaceae. The record is from RefSeq and is a predicted model, not a curated record.